RNAcentral lists this ribosomal RNA (301 nucleotides) under uncultured bacterium. Its description in RNAcentral is "partial 16S ribosomal RNA". It matches the Rfam family "Bacterial small subunit ribosomal RNA", at positions 509 to 809 of the family's 1533-position model. The record is from RNAcentral.
CAGCAGCCGCGGUAAUACAGAGGGUGCAAGCGUUAAUCGGAAUUACUGGGCGUAAAGCGCGCGUAGGUGGUUUGUUAAGUUGGAUGUGAAAGCCCCGGGCUCAACCUGGGAACUGCAUCCAAAACUGGCAAGCUAGAGUACGGUAGAGGGUGGUGGAAUUUCCUGUGUAGCGGUGAAAUGCGUAGAUAUAGGAAGGAACACCAGUGGCGAAGGCGACCACCUGGACUGAUACUGACACUGAGGUGCGAAAGCGUGGGGAGCAAACAGGAUUAGAUACCCCCGUAGUCCCUGUCUCUUAUAU